CCUACGGGAGACAGCAGUGGGGGAUAUUGGACAAUGGGGGGAACCCUGAUCCAGCGACGCCGCGUGAGUGAAGAAGUAUUUCGGUAUGUAAAGCUCUGUCAGCAGGGAAGAAAGCAAUGACGGUACCUGACCAAGAGGCACCGGCUAACGACGUGCUAGCAGCCGCGGUAAUACGGAGGGGGUAAGCGUUAUCCGGAAUUACUGGGUGUAAAGGGAGCGUAGACGGCUGUGCAAGUCUGGAGUGAAAGGCGGGGGCGCAACCCCCGGACUGCUCUGGAAACUGUGUGGCUGGAGUGCAGGAGAGGGAAGCGGAAUUCUUGGUGUAGCAGUGAAAUGCGUAGAUAUUAGGAGGAACACUAGUGGCGAAGGCGGCUUCCUGGACUGUAACUGACGUUGAGGUUCGAAGGCGAGGGGAGCGAACGGGAUUAGAUACCCGGGUAGUC
This 443-nucleotide ribosomal RNA is filed under the name uncultured bacterium. RNAcentral describes it as "partial 16S ribosomal RNA". It matches the Rfam family "Bacterial small subunit ribosomal RNA", at positions 338 to 795 of the family's 1533-position model. The record is from RNAcentral.